Molecule: long non-coding RNA, 293 nt
Organism: Mus musculus (house mouse)
Lineage: Eukaryota; Metazoa; Chordata; Mammalia; Rodentia; Muridae
Product: predicted gene, 40952
Exons: 3
Source: RefSeq, a predicted model, not a curated record
UUUUCUUUUUUGUGUGGUUCCAGAAGUUGGGUGUCGUUUUCAUGGUUUUCUGGAGUCACAUGGCUUAACCUCUGAGGCAUGUGCUGGCCUGUUUGCCCUGGUUCCCAUCCACAGAAGAGUGAGGGGACUCAAGGACCAACCUACACAUGGGUCGCAACAAUCUGUGAUUCAAUGCUACAUAAUGCAAUGCCCUCUUCUGAUCUCCUGAGGAACCAAGCAUGUGUGUGAGGAAGCUUUGGUGAGCUCGCCCCUCCUGCUGUCGCUCCAGAGUCGCUGAAGAGAUAAAAGCCAUA